RNAcentral lists this transfer RNA (86 nucleotides) under Turnera subulata. It matches the Rfam family "tRNA". From Rfam's summary of the family: Transfer RNA (tRNA) molecules are approximately 80 nucleotides in length. Their secondary structure includes four short double-helical elements and three loops (D, anti-codon, and T loops). The record is from Rfam by way of RNAcentral. Lineage: Eukaryota; Viridiplantae; Streptophyta; Magnoliopsida; Malpighiales; Passifloraceae.
GUCAGGAUGGCCGAGUGGUCUAAGGCGGUAGACUCAGCAUCUAUUCCUCGUUAAAGGGGGCGUGGGUUCAAAUCCCACUCCUGACA